CUUUCCCUAAAAGAAACCUCUUUCAAAUGCUCUUAAAUUCUCUCCAAGGCAGCCCUAGCCCGGUGACCAAAAAUCCAGAUCCCAUUGGCUUUCCACCGGGUAAACUACCCCGAUAACCGCGACAGCCACCACCUACGGAGGCCUGAAAACCUAACCUUACCUUAUUUGAAUGCUCUUUUUCCCCUAAGUUCAAAUUUACCCUUCAAAUACCCAAAUAGUGCCCUAUUUGGUGUAGAUCUACGACUAAAUGUUCGAGUUUUACCUUCUCAUUCGAACGACAGUUGGUGUCUGGUGACCUCCCUUCUCUCUGAAGAUCACGAGCACGAGAUUCUUUAAGAUUUCAGUCGCACCAGAAGAUCAAGGGAAACAACGUUUAAUGUCCUUUUAGUACCUUCGCUUAUCGACGAUGCCCACUUGGCUUAUGUACUCCCUAGGAAACUUACGAAUGAAGUGGUCAGGACCUUAUAUUGUGACUCAAGUAUUUCCCCAUGGAGCAGUUGAAAUUCAAGAAGAUUCAUGAACUUGUUUCAAAGUAAUGGUCAACAGUUAAAGCCAUACUACGAGAAUAAUCAAACACGCGUGAUCAAGGAGGUUAUUUAGAAGAACUUAUAGUCUGAACCAGGCCGUCGAGCUAAAUGACUUUAAAUAAAUCGCUUAAUGG
This is a long non-coding RNA of Hibiscus syriacus, 661 nucleotides long. RefSeq lists it as uncharacterized. The record is from RefSeq and is a predicted model, not a curated record. The transcript has 3 exons. NCBI's taxonomy places the organism in Eukaryota, Viridiplantae, Streptophyta, Magnoliopsida, Malvales, Malvaceae.